RNAcentral lists this non-coding RNA (26 nucleotides) under Homo sapiens (human). Lineage: Eukaryota; Metazoa; Chordata; Mammalia; Primates; Hominidae. The record is from RNAcentral.
UGAAGGUUCCUCAGUAAAACACUGUG